This 371-nucleotide long non-coding RNA is filed under the name Marmota monax (woodchuck). The record is from RNAcentral. Lineage: Eukaryota; Metazoa; Chordata; Mammalia; Rodentia; Sciuridae.
GAUUGAACCCAGGGGCAAUUAACCAUGAGCCACAUCUGUAGCCCUUUAUAUUUUGAGACACGGUCUUGCUAAGUUGCUCUGGGCCUCUCCAAGUUGCUGAGGCUGGCUUUGAACUUGUGAUCCUCCUGCCUCAGCCUCCUGAGCCGCUGGGAUUACAGUUGUAUGCCACCAUGCUCAGCCCUGUGUGGGUGCUUAUCCCUGAUGGCAAAAUCCUGAUGCUAGUGGCAGCCGGCUGGCUGGCUGCCCUGAGUUACAGUGCCAGCCUGGGCCAGCUCUAAGUGCAUUCUCUCAAUCUAGACGGUGUUCUGUGGUUGGUAUUAGCAACAUCACCCUGUUUUACAACUGUGCAAACUGGGGCGUGGAAAGGUUAA